GCCCGGCCCGAUGGUAGUGGGUUAUCAGAACUUAUUAACAUCAGUGUCACUAAAGUUGGUAUACAACUCCUUUCUGCUAAAGUUGACUGGCUUAA
RNAcentral lists this non-coding RNA (95 nucleotides) under Microcebus murinus (gray mouse lemur). The record is from RNAcentral. Lineage: Eukaryota; Metazoa; Chordata; Mammalia; Primates; Cheirogaleidae.